UGAAGAAUCUUGGGCAAUGGGCUAACGCCUGACCCAGUGAGAACACAUGCAUGAUGAAUGCGCACAGUUUUCUGUAAAGUGCUAUUCGCGGGAUCAAGAAAACGACACAAGCCCGAGAUGAAGCGCCGGCCAACUCCGUGCCAGCAGCCGCGGUAAGACGGAGGGCGCGAGCGUUAUUCGUUUUGAUUGGGUGUAAAGGGUAUGUAGGCGGCCCCUAGUUUUUGGCUAAAAAGCGGAGUGUUCCUAUGCUAUAUGGCCUUUGAAAAAGGGGGCUUGUGUUGAUGAUAGGUCGGGGCAAGUUCUUAUGUAGGGGUAGAAUCCCACCAUAUGAGAACGAACGACAGCUGGCGAAGGCGCCCUUCCCGCUUCAACAGACGCUAAGGUACGGAAGCUUAGGUAGCAAACGGGAUUAGAUACCCUCGUAGUCCCUGAGCGGGCUGGCAAGGCGCAU
RNAcentral lists this ribosomal RNA (451 nucleotides) under uncultured bacterium. RNAcentral's name for it is "bacterial SSU rRNA". It matches the Rfam family "Bacterial small subunit ribosomal RNA", at positions 355 to 825 of the family's 1533-position model. The record is from RNAcentral.